Molecule: ribosomal RNA, 507 nt
Filed under: uncultured bacterium
Lineage: Bacteria
Description: partial 16S ribosomal RNA
Rfam family: Bacterial small subunit ribosomal RNA
Source: RNAcentral
GACGAACGCUGGCGGCGUGCCUAAUACAUGCAAGUCGAACGCAUUUUCUUUCACCGUAGCUUGCUACACCGAAAGAAAAUGAGUGGCGAACGGGUGAGUAACACGUGGGUAGCCUGCCCAUCAGCGGGGGAUAACACUUGGAAACAGGUGCUAAUACCGCAUAAUUCCAUUUACCGCAUGGUAGAUGGAUGAAAGGCGCUUUUGCGUCACUGAUGGAUGGACCCGCGGUGCAUUAGCUAGUUGGUGGGGUAACGGCCUACCAAGGCUGCGAUGCAUAGCCGACCUGAGAGGGUGAUCGGCCACACUGGGACUGAGACACGGCCCAGACUCCUACGGGAGGCAGCAGUAGGGAAUCUUCGGCAAUGGACACAAGUCUGACCGAGCAACGCCGCGUGAGUGAAGAAGGUUUUCGGAUCGUAAAACUCUGUUGUUAGAGAAGAACAAGGAUGAGAGUGGAAAGUUCAUCCCUUGACGGUAUCUAACCAGAAAGCCACGGCUAACUACGUG